CCUACGGGAGGCAGCAGUGGGGAAUCUUUGGCAAUGGGCGCAAGCCUGACCCAGCAACGCCGCGUGAAGGAAGAAGGCUUUUGGGUUGUAAAACUCUUGUCUUGGGGACGAACAAAUGACGGUACCCAAGGCAUAAGCCACGGCUAACUAAGUGCCAGCAGCCGGGGUAAUAAGUAGGGGGCAAGCGUUCUCCGGUUUUAUUGGGUGGAAAGGGAGUGUAGGCGGGAAUGCAAGUCAGAUGUGAAAAAUCAGGGCUCAACCCUUGGCCUGCAUAUGAAACUGUGUUUCUUGAGUGCUGGAGGGGGAAUCGGAAUUCCGGGUGUAGCAGUGAAAUGCGUAGAUAUACGGAGGAACACCAGUGGCGAAGGCGGAUUGCUGGACAGUAACUGACGCUGAGGCGCGAAGGCGAGGGGAGCGAACAGGAUUAGAUACCCGAGUAGUC
RNAcentral lists this ribosomal RNA (442 nucleotides) under uncultured bacterium. Its description in RNAcentral is "partial 16S ribosomal RNA". It matches the Rfam family "Bacterial small subunit ribosomal RNA", at positions 338 to 795 of the family's 1533-position model. The record is from RNAcentral.